CCUACGGGGGGCAGCAGUGGGGAAUAUUGGACAAUGGGCGAAAGCCUGAUCCAGCCAUGCCGCGUGUGUGAAGAAGGCCUUCGGGUUGUAAAGCACUUUCAGUGGGGAAGAAAGCCUUGGGGCUAAUACCCUCGAGGAAGGACAUCACCCACAGAAGAAGCACCGGCUAACUCCGUGCCAGCAGCCGCGGUAAUACGGAGGGUGCGAGCGUUAAUCGGAAUUACUGGGCGUAAAGCGCGCGUAGGCGGUCUGAUAAGCCGGUUGUGAAAGCCCCGGGCUCAACCUGGGAACGGCAUCCGGAACUGUCAGGCUAGAGUGCAGGAGAGGAAGGUAGAAUUCCGGGUGUAGCGGUGAAAUGCGUAGAGAUCGGGAGGAAUACCAGUGGCGAAGGCGGCCUUCUGGACUGACACUGACGCUGAGGUGCGAAAGCGUGGGUAGCAAAAAGGAUUAGAUACCCGGGUAGUC
This 465-nucleotide ribosomal RNA is filed under the name Vreelandella stevensii. Its description in RNAcentral is "partial 16S ribosomal RNA". It matches the Rfam family "Bacterial small subunit ribosomal RNA", at positions 338 to 795 of the family's 1533-position model. Lineage: Bacteria; Pseudomonadati; Pseudomonadota; Gammaproteobacteria; Oceanospirillales; Halomonadaceae. The record is from RNAcentral.